This 87-nucleotide signal recognition particle RNA is filed under the name Halorhodospira halophila SL1. RNAcentral describes it as "Bacterial small signal recognition particle RNA". It matches the Rfam family "Bacterial small signal recognition particle RNA", at positions 5 to 90 of the family's 97-position model. From Rfam's summary of the family: The signal recognition particle (SRP) is a universally conserved ribonucleoprotein involved in the co-translational targeting of proteins to membranes. The record is from Rfam by way of RNAcentral. Lineage: Bacteria; Pseudomonadati; Pseudomonadota; Gammaproteobacteria; Chromatiales; Ectothiorhodospiraceae.
GGUCCCCCCGCGACGAGUCGCUGUGAACCCCGUCAGGCCCGGAAGGGAGCAGCGGCAGCAGCGAUCCUCGGGCGCCGGGGUGUGGCU